GCGGGCGUGGCGGAAUGGUAGACGCAUGGGACUUAAAAUCCCUGGGGCGAAAGCCCGUGCCGGUUCAAGUCCGGCCGCCCGUACCA
RNAcentral lists this transfer RNA (86 nucleotides) under Paracoccaceae bacterium. RNAcentral's name for it is "tRNA-Leu". It matches the Rfam family "tRNA". From Rfam's summary of the family: Transfer RNA (tRNA) molecules are approximately 80 nucleotides in length. Their secondary structure includes four short double-helical elements and three loops (D, anti-codon, and T loops). RNAcentral also lists the same sequence under 3 other names. Lineage: Bacteria; Pseudomonadati; Pseudomonadota; Alphaproteobacteria; Rhodobacterales; Paracoccaceae. The record is from RNAcentral.